UACGGUACUGCACCAAAAAAUAUAAGGUGAAAAUCUCAAAUUCGAUGAAUCAUACAGUCUUACGAAAAAACUGCCAAACGUAUUAGAAGAACCCAAACUAUGUUCUGCAAAAUUUUACAUGAAGACAUCUCCUGAUAGAAAUUCAGAAACCAUGGCCAGAGGAAAACGACAGCACAAGAUUGUAAGAAAAUACUUAGAGAUUUGAAGAAAGCAGGUCUUUAGAUUCUAGAUAUCAAAACAAUUAUGGUAAAUCCAUUGUUGUAGAUUACUCUGGUUCUGAAAGUAACUUCAUAAAGGCCUUGGAUUUUCGAUCUGAUGCAGCUGUCAAAUUGAUCUGUUCAGCAAUUUGUAGCCGUGUAGGAUGGGAGUGCCGGAGUAGAGAUCGAUUUGUGGGAAAAAUCGGGGGAUUGUUUCUCAGUUUGGGUGGGAACCCAUGGGAGAAGGAAGAAAUCAUGGGUUCUCCCGGUUUCUGUCUUCCCCCUAUUCAACCAAAGACGGGACAAACCUAUCUCUGAAAAUAAUAAAACCCCUUUCGAACCCAUGAUCCCUCAUGCUGUUUAGAAAUCUAAACGGAUCAUUUAAAACACUGUCCAUUAAAAACGGGACACGAAAUGGAAAUUUAAUGCAUGCUAGGAGCAGAUCGAUCUGGAAUAAUAUUAUUUUUAUCAGGAAGUCAACUAUGAGAAACAACAAACUCGAAGAAUCCUGCGAUUCAAAACCAAUGGGGCGGCCUGAUGCUACAAUCCCAGGGAUGGGCGAAUCAUUUACGGAUGUUUCUACUGCCUGAAGGUGACGGCGGCAGCGGCGAAUAGAAUGCACUGAUUGACUUUUUCCGGAUAGGAAUUAGAGACGGCAGGACGGGAUUCUUCACUGGCAUCGAAGACGGUUUUUGGAGUGGAUGUUGCAGUUUCCGAAAAGUUCGAUUUCUCUAUCGGGAAAGAGGGCAAAGAACCGAAGGACCAGUCAACAAAGACUUCCAAUUGCAGCCGAAGCGACUUGCGAUUUCGAAGAAACGGUUCGGGAGAACAUAAUUUUUUUUAAAACCGCCGUGCAAGUAAUGGAGAAAGCGAAGAAUAUAGCAUCCUGCAAAUAGAGGAGGGUCACCAUCGAUGAAUGCCGAUUUCGCCUUUUCCCGCCAUCUAGACCGAUCUGGAAUCUUAAUCUUGAAAUUGAGAUUUCGAUCAGUUCAGAAGGUUGCUUUUAAUACCAGACAAUCUCCUAGGGGUAUAUUACAAAUGUUUUCCCCCCUCUCUACAUUCAACCUCUAGGGGUAUUUAUACACUUUCCUACUGGACCGAGCCUUCAUUCACUGGUCAAGUGGGCCUGCUGGGCCUGGUCGAG
RNAcentral lists this long non-coding RNA (1341 nucleotides) under Zostera marina. RNAcentral's name for it is "long non-coding RNA (ZMAR_LNC001241)". The record is from RNAcentral. Lineage: Eukaryota; Viridiplantae; Streptophyta; Magnoliopsida; Alismatales; Zosteraceae.